CGCCGAAGUUACUUCAUGAGAAACUAGUGGCGGACGGGUGAGUAACGCGUGGGUAACCUGCCUUACACAGGGGGAUAACAGUUAGAAAUGACUGCUAAUACCGCAUAAGCGCACAGAAUCGCAUGAUUCAGUGUGAAAAGAUUUAUCGGUGUAAGAUGGACCCGCGUCUGAUUAGCUAGUUGGUGAGGUAACGGCCCACCCAAGGCGACGAUCAGUAGCCGGCCUGAGAGGGUGAACGGCCACAUUGGGACUGAGACACGGCCCAAACUCCUACGGGAGGCAGCAGUAGGGAAUAUUGGACAAUGGGGGAAACCCUGAUCCAAGCGACGCCGCGUGAGUGAAGAAGUAUUUCGGUACGUAAAGCUCUAUCAGCAGGGAAGAAAAUGACGGUACCUGACUAAGAAGCACCGGCUAAAUACGUGCCAGCAGCCGC
RNAcentral lists this ribosomal RNA (433 nucleotides) under uncultured bacterium. Its description in RNAcentral is "bacterial SSU rRNA". It matches the Rfam family "Bacterial small subunit ribosomal RNA", at positions 60 to 518 of the family's 1533-position model. The record is from RNAcentral.